RNAcentral lists this ribosomal RNA (489 nucleotides) under uncultured bacterium. Its description in RNAcentral is "partial 16S ribosomal RNA". It matches the Rfam family "Bacterial small subunit ribosomal RNA", at positions 28 to 507 of the family's 1533-position model. The record is from RNAcentral.
GAUGAACGCUGGCGGCGUGCCUAAUACAUGCAAGUCGAGCGAACAGACGAGGAGCUUGCUCCUCUGACGUUAGCGGCGGACGGGUGAGUAACACGUGGAUAACCUACCUAUAAGACUGGGAUAACUUCGGGAAACCGGAGCUAAUACCGGAUAACGUCGCAAGACCAAAGAGGGGGACCUUCGGGCCUCUUGCCAUCGGAUGUGCCCAGAUGGGAUUAGCUAGUAGGUGGGGUAACGGCUCACCUAGGCGACGAUCCCUAGCUGGUCUGAGAGGAUGACCAGCCACACUGGAACUGAGACACGGUCCAGACUCCUACGGGAGGCAGCAGUGGGGAAUAUUGCACAAUGGGCGCAAGCCUGAUGCAGCCAUGCCGCGUGUAUGAAGAAGGCCUUCGGGUUGUAAAGUACUUUCAGCGGGGAGGAAGGGAGUAAAGUUAAUACCUUUGCUCAUUGACGUUACCCGCAGAAGAAGCACCGGCUAACUCCGUG